UAAGUACUCCCUCCGUCCGGAAAUACUCGUCGGAGAGAUGGAUGUAUCUAGACGUAUUUUUGUUUUAGAUGCAUCCAUUUCUACGAUAAGUAUUUCCGGACGGAGGGAGUAAUUC
Molecule: non-coding RNA, 115 nt
Organism: Triticum aestivum (bread wheat)
Lineage: Eukaryota; Viridiplantae; Streptophyta; Magnoliopsida; Poales; Poaceae
Source: Rfam